Molecule: ribosomal RNA, 672 nt
Filed under: uncultured bacterium
Lineage: Bacteria
Description: bacterial SSU rRNA
Rfam family: Bacterial small subunit ribosomal RNA
Source: RNAcentral
AGUCGAGGGGCAUCAGUUUGGUUUGCUUGCAAACCAAAGCUGGCGGCCGGCGCACGGGUGAGUAACACGUAUCCAACCUGCCUCAUACUCGGGGAUAGCCUUUCGAAAGAAAGAUUAAUAUCCGAUAGCAUAUAUUUCCCGCAUGGGUUUUAUAUUAAAGAAAUUCGGUAUGAGAUGGGGAUGCGUUCCAUUAGUUUGUUGGGGGGGUAACGGCCCACCAAGACUACGAUGGAUAGGGGUUCUGAGAGGAAGGUCCCCCACAUUGGAACUGAGACACGGUCCAAACUCCUACGGGAGGCAGCAGUGAGGAAUAUUGGUCAAUGGACGCGAGUCUGAACCAGCCAAGUAGCGUGAAGGAUGACUGCCCUAUGGGUUGUAAACUUCUUUUAUAUGGGAAUAAAGUUGUCCACGUGUGGAUUUUUGUAUGUACCAUAUGAAUAAGGAUCGGCUAACUCCGUGCCAGCAGCCGCGGUAAUACGGAGGAUCCGAGCGUUAUCCGGAUUUAUUGGGUUUAAAGGGAGCGUAGGCGGAUUGUUAAGUCAGUUGUGAAAGUUUGCGGCUCAACCGUAAAAUUGCAGUUGAUACUGGCAGUCUUGGGUGCAGUAGAGGUGGGCGGAAUUCGUGGUGUAGCGGUGAAAUGCUUAGAUAUCACGAAGAACUCCGAUUGCGAAG